AGGGCGGGCCUGUCGGCAGCCGCUCGCCGAACGGACGCCUCCGCGCUGCAAGCCCGCGCCCUCGGUCCCUGAGGGGAGCCUGCGGCGGCCCUGAGGGGAGGCGGCUCGGCUGGUGGCCACGGCGAGGAGACCGAGCGCCCCGGCCAGUCAAAACCAGAAAUUAGAUAACAGAAAUGCCACACUGUCAACACCGACCGGGAGGAAAGCCUCGCUGGCGGAGAGCGCUCAACAGAGCCCUUCGUGUAUUCUCCCAGCCCAGGUCGCAGGUGGAGGAGGAGUGCCUCCUGCAGGGACGGGUUCUCCCGUAGACACUCAAACUCCGGGAUAUAAAACCCCUGUUAAUAAUUGUCAAGAGUGUUACUUCCCAAAUACAGUUUUUGAAAGCUGUAUGCACUAGGUAAAAUAAUUUAUGUAAUGUUUGGAAGUAUGUGAAAGAGCAUUAGAUUGAUACAAAUUAAAAACUUGUUCCCAAAUUAA
Macaca mulatta (Rhesus monkey) is the source of this 477-nucleotide non-coding RNA. The record is from RefSeq and is a predicted model, not a curated record. NCBI's taxonomy places the organism in Eukaryota, Metazoa, Chordata, Mammalia, Primates, Cercopithecidae.